CGGUGGGUGGGUGGGUAAGAAGAGGAUUUAGGAUGAAUUUCAAAGCGGACGGCAAUGGCUUUGACCCGGGGAUUGGGAAUGCUCUCUCUCUUUUUAAUUCUUUCUUCUUCUUCUUCUUCUUCUUCUUCUUCUUCCCGAUCCCAAGCAAAGUCUUCAACCAAACUCCACCCAAUCAUUCAAGCAAUUUUUAAUAAUUCAACGCUGAUCAUCAUCGCUGACCUAAUAACCCAAUUGCCACACAUGCAUCUCCGCCCUCCUCCUCUGAUUCACUGCUUCCUCCUCUACAACUUCUUCUCCUUCGGCCGCCACUGAAACCCACAAAGUCGACAUAGAUAGAUAGAUAGAUAGAUAGAGAGAGAGAGAGAGAGAGUUUCGGCAUACAUGGGAAACUGUUGGGGAAGCCCAACCAAGUGCGCCCACGCUUCUUCCAACCAAUUCUUUGAGGCAACGAUGCUCCCUAGCAACGCCAAACACGACUCUGGCCAGCAAAAAUUUUCGGGAAGUUUAAACAAAGCUCUCAUAGCAUCCAAUAGUGAUAUAUCUAUCUCCAACAACCUAAAGUCCUUUAGUUUCAGCGAUCUCAAGAAUGCCACCAAAAACUUCCACUCAGAUAAUCUGCUUGGUGAGGGAGGGUUUGGAUGUGUCUUUAAAGGAUGGAUUGAUGACAACACUUUUUCUUCCAGCAAAACUGGAACUGGGAUUGCAGUUGCCGUUAAAAAGCUCAAGGCAGUAAGCUAUCAAGGUCACAGGGAAUGGCUUACAGAAGUAAACUACUUGAGCCAGCUUCGCCAUGAAAAUCUUGUGAAGCUCAUUGGGUAUUGCUCAGAGUCCAAUCACAGACUUUUAGUUUAUGAAUUCAUGCCGAAGGGAAGCUUGGAAAAUCAUUUAUUCACAAAAGGUGUUCAACCUAUUCCUUGGGCAACACGAAUGAAUAUUGCUGUUGAUGUUGCACGUGGACUAUCCUUUUUACAUAGUUUGGACACCAAUGUAAUCUACCGUGACUUGAAGGCUUCAAACAUUCUACUUGAUUUGGAUUUCAGUGCAAAGCUUUCAGAUUUUGGCUUGGCAAGAGCUGGUCCUACUGGAGACAACACUCAUGUUUCCACCAGAGUAGUGGGAACUUUGGGCUAUGCUGCACCAGAAUAUGUAGCAACAGGUUUUGAUCUUCUAUACUUUUCAAUGCACUUCCAUAAAUCAGACAGGUGGGGUAUCUGCUGCUCACCCAAGCCGGGCCAGCCAGCCCCCUGCUUGGCCCUUUCUUCCUGUGGGCCGGGCCAAGUUCGACCCUUUUUUGAAUUGGGUCAUGUCAGCCCAACCCAUAUUAGAAAGAAAAGAAGGAGGGCGGGGGGAACACAGCCCCUGGGCCCUUAAUACAGGCUGAGAGGGUCGGGCCACGUGCAGAGCCGGCCUUGGUCCUAGUGGGUCAGAUUACUAGGCCUAAUGGGUCAGCCCAUGUAAAUUUAAAAAAAAAAAAUCUUUUUUUAGAAAGUAAUUUGCAAUUAUUUUAAAAUACAAAAUUCGUUAUAAAAUAUAAAUAAAAAAUAUUUCAAACAUUUUUUUAUUUGUUUACAAAAAUAAAAAAUUUAAAUAAACUUCCAACCAUUUUGAAAGUUUAUAUUUUUCCAAUUUUGAAAUAUAAAUUGUCAAAUUUAUUGAUUUUGCAUGGUCCAUCUUUUCUAACAUCUCCUAUGCUAAAAGUGACUGCAAAAGUAUACCCUUAGCCCAACAUGACCCUAUAUUCUCGGGUCAUGCCAGUAUGGCCUGCUUGCUACGGUAACAGACCGUGCUAGGUUGGGCUACUUAGAUGGUAGGUUGGCCCGACCUGUUUGACACCUCUACUAUGAGAGCAAGGGGCUGGAGUGUCUGAAAGCAGUUUUUGAACUUAAUUUUAUUAGCCUUCAGGAUUUCCUAAACUGCCUCUACUGUGAAGUCCUUGGAACGUUUUUGGGUGAAAGUUGCAAAUAGUUGGACAGUAGUGGAGGUGUUGAACAGGGCUCAGCACAUCCUGGGUCAUGGCCUGUGCUGGCACGAGCCAAGCACAGCCCAAAAUGUAUGGGUCAUCUUGCAGCCUUGUAAAGAUUCAAUUUCAAACAAGGUCACUUGACUCCAAAGAGUGAUGUGUACAGUUACGGAGUUGUGAUACUGGAGUUGCUAUCUGGACGGCAAGCAUUAGACGAGGAUAAAGCUGGAUGUGUGGAAGAAAUAUUGGCCGACUGGGUAAAGCCUUUCCUAAGUGACAACAGA
Molecule: RNA transcript, 2244 nt
Organism: Diospyros lotus (date-plum)
Lineage: Eukaryota; Viridiplantae; Streptophyta; Magnoliopsida; Ericales; Ebenaceae
Gene name: probable serine/threonine-protein kinase PBL3
Exons: 6
Source: RefSeq, a predicted model, not a curated record